Molecule: long non-coding RNA, 1957 nt
Organism: Monodelphis domestica (gray short-tailed opossum)
Lineage: Eukaryota; Metazoa; Chordata; Mammalia; Didelphimorphia; Didelphidae
Source: RefSeq, a predicted model, not a curated record
UUUGGAGCUCAUCUGCGAGACGUGGGCGUGCCCGCGGGCCAGCUCCCGGGGCUCUUGGCUCUCCCUACAGUCCCAGUUCCUCCUCCGCCUCCGCGGAGGAGCUAUUUUUGCCGCCCUGGCCUGGGCCCCGGGGUGUGGGGGGAAUGCUGGGCCUGAAACCCAAGCCGGGGUUCGCCCGGGGCCCUAUGAGGAGACAGACAGCUGCUGGGGCUGCAGCAGAUGACGGUUGCGAGCCGGGGCCGCCCCCGCGCCCGGCGCUAGGGGCGGCGGCAGCGCAGGGCCACUUUGAAGUUGGUCCAAGGAGCACACGCUCCGACCUGUAACUGAGAGGGGCGCAAACCCAGAGGAGCCCGAGCUGCUCGGCUCCCCCAUUGACUUCCCGGAGGCAGAGGCUUCGGUCACUUGCCAGAGGCUGGCGAGGAGCCAUGAGGGGGCUCUGGCAGGGGCUCGUGGAUGGGCUUUUAGAGACGUUGGCUCCAGGGGUGCCAUCCAUCGUGGAGCGCCCCAGGGUGCAGGAUGGACACACGGAUGGGAAAGAAGCCCCAAUGCAGGAGGCAGCGAGAGCUACGGCCGUGAGCAGCAGCAGCAGCAGCAGCAGCAACAAGAGUUCAUUUUCCCUGGAAGCCUUCUCUGGGCCCGCUCGGGGCUAAGCAAGCCCUCUACAAGGGUGAUCUCAACUGGCCUCGCAGCAAUAAGUGGAAAGUGUUCCUGAAGGGGAGUGCCGCAAGCAGAGGGCCAUUCAGUAACGCGCGCAUGUGCUGUACACAGCAGAGCCUGAGAAGAGAGAAUAAAUGCAGAGUGAGCAAACUGCCUUUAGAUGACCCGCAAAGUAGGAAAUGGGUGCAUGCAGGCGAGGCACAAGCAUGUAUUAUCGGGUCCUGUGCCAGGCCCUAAAUACACCAAUUUAACAGAAACAACCAACAAAAAAGACAGUCCCUGCCCUCAAGGAGCUUGAAGUCCAAUGGGGAAGAGAACCCCGAAAAGGGAACUGGAAAGGGAGAAGCAGAAGCGUACCGUGGAACCUCAGCCCAAGUUUAAGAAGUCAGAACCAGAGCCUGGAGAGGAAUGAAGUCUGGCCGGGCUGCUCCGAUCCCCCAAAUGGAGGCUCCAAAAAGAACUUACUGGUCUAGGAUCUUGAGAUCACUACAUCAUGGCAGCUCUCUAAGGAAACUGAAGGGCAAGGUUUUCUACGGAGGGGGUUCUCUGUCCCACUCUUGAUGUUAUGGGCAGUGAGAGCUAUGUAUUGAUGAUUGCAAGAGACCCACACUAUGUAUAAAUAAAUAGAGAAAACAGCCAUGGGGCUUGGAAGCUUCCAGAAAGAAGCUGGAAGAAAAGGAAUGGAAAAUAUGCCAGACUUGGAAUGAGGGGACCUAGCUUAAAAUCCUCUUUAUGCCACUUGGGUCCUGCCUAACCUCAGUAACUUGGACAUGUUUCUGAACCCCCAGAGGCCUCAGUUUCCAUUUUCCACCCUACCUUUGUGGCAGCUGCCCAUCCACCCACCCCCAACCUGGACCACCAAAGACCGUACAUGGGGGAGCUAAGCCCCCAACGCCGUACUUCCUGAGAAUACGCAUCCCCCUGUGCAGUCAGGCCAUUUCUGGUUCUGGAUGGGUCAAGUUUCCUCCUGCUUCAUUUACGGCUCACCAACCCUCCCCUUUCCACCACUUGCUCGAGAAUUGUAAUCCAAUUAGCACCACCAUUGCCUCUGGAAAUGGAAAAUCAAUGGACUGUUCUAUGUUCCUCGCCAUUGCUGUGACUUUCCAGAUUAUAACUUCCUUACUUGACUUCCUUACUUGCCGACCCCAGCUGCAGGGUGUCCCCAAAGUCUUAAGUGCAUUUUAAGCUAUUAAAGCUUAAUGUAUGCGUUGGCUGGCCAUUAGAAAGUAAACGUAUCACUUACUUGUAUUCCUCGGGCUUGGCACUCGGAAGCUCUUAAUAAAUGGCUUUGAUGACUUGA